This 254-nucleotide ribosomal RNA is filed under the name uncultured bacterium. RNAcentral's name for it is "partial 16S ribosomal RNA". It matches the Rfam family "Bacterial small subunit ribosomal RNA", at positions 524 to 776 of the family's 1533-position model. The record is from RNAcentral.
UACGUAGGGUGCAAGCGUUGUCCGGAAUUAUUGGGCGUAAAGAGCUCGUAGGCGGUUCGAUAAGUCGGGUGUGAAACCUCCAGGCUCAACCUGGAGACGCCACCCGAUACUGUCGUGACUAGAGUCCAGUAGGGGAGCGUGGAAUUCCUGGUGUAGCGGUGAAAUGCGCAGAUAUCAGGAGGAACACCAGCGGCGAAGGCGGCGCUCUGGGCUGGAACUGACGCUGAGGAGCGAAAGCGUGGGGAGCAAACAGG